AUUGAACGCUGGCGGCAUGCCUUACACAUGCAAGUCGAACGGUAACAGGUCUUCGGAUGCUGACGAGUGGCGAACGGGUGAGUAAUACAUCGGAACGUGCCCGAUCGUGGGGGAUAACGAGGCGAAAGCUUUGCUAAUACCGCAUACGAUCUACGGAUGAAAGCGGGGGAUCUUCGGACCUCGCGCGGACGGAGCGGCCGAUGGCAGAUUAGGUAGUUGGUGGGAUAAAAGCUUACCAAGCCGACGAUCUGUAGCUGGUCUGAGAGGAUGAUCAGCCGCACUGGGACUGAGACACGGCCCAGACUCCUACGGGAGGCAGCAGUGGGGAAUUUUGGACAAUGGGCGAAAGCCUGAUCCAGCCAUGCCGCGUGCAGGAUGAAGGCCUUCGGGUUGUAAACUGCUUUUGUACGGAACGAAAAGCCUCUUUCUAAUAAAGAGGGGUCAUGACGGUACCGUAAGAAUAAGCACCGGCUAACUACGUGCCAGCAGCCGCGGUAAUACGUAGGGUGCAAGCGUUAAUCGGAAUUACUGGGCGUAAAGCGUGCGCAGGCGGUUUUGUAAGACAGAGGUGAAAUCCCCGGGCUCAACCUGGGAACUGCCUUUGUGACUGCAAGGCUGGAGUGCGGCAGAGGGGGAUGGAAUUCCGCGUGUAGCAGUGAAAUGCGUAGAUAUGCGGAGGAACACCGAUGGCGAAGGCAAUCCCCUGGGCCUGCACUGACGCUCAUGCACGAAAGCGUGGGGAGCAAACAGG
This 751-nucleotide ribosomal RNA is filed under the name uncultured Comamonadaceae bacterium. RNAcentral describes it as "bacterial SSU rRNA". It matches the Rfam family "Bacterial small subunit ribosomal RNA", at positions 28 to 776 of the family's 1533-position model. The record is from RNAcentral. Lineage: Bacteria; Pseudomonadati; Pseudomonadota; Betaproteobacteria; Burkholderiales; Comamonadaceae.